ACCUGGCUGGCUCAGUUGGAAGAGCAUGUGACUCUUGAUCUCCAGGUCAUGGGUUUGAGCCCCAUGUUGUGUG
Felis catus (domestic cat) is the source of this 73-nucleotide transfer RNA. It matches the Rfam family "tRNA". Rfam says of the family: Transfer RNA (tRNA) molecules are approximately 80 nucleotides in length. The record is from Rfam. Lineage: Eukaryota; Metazoa; Chordata; Mammalia; Carnivora; Felidae.